AGAGUUUGAUUCUGGCUCAGGAUGAACGCUGGCGGCGUGCCUAAUACAUGCAAGUUGAACGGGAUGGAUUAUCCAUUCAGUAGCGAACGGGUGAGUAAUACAUAGGCAACCUACCUUUAUGAGGGGGGAUAACCGAGGGAAACUUUGGCUAAUACCGCAUAUAGAGCACUUGGGAUCAAGUGAAGAAGAAAGACGGAGCAAUCCGUCGCAUAGAGAUGGGCUUAUGGCGCAUUAGCUAGUUGGCGGGUAACGGCCCACCAAGGUGAUGAUGCGUAGCCGACCUGAGAGGGUGAUCGGCCACAUUGGGACUGAGACACGGCCCAAACUCCUACGGGAGGCAGCAGUAGGGAAUUUUCGGCAAUGGGGGGAACCCUGACCGAGCAACGCCGCGUGAAGGGAAUGAAGGCCUUCGGGUUGUAAACUUCUGUUACGGAGAAAGAACAUACUGGAUAGGAAAUGAUCGAGUAAUGACGGUACUUCGUGAGAAAGCCACGGCUAACUACGUGCCAGCAGCCGC
This 517-nucleotide ribosomal RNA is filed under the name uncultured bacterium. Its description in RNAcentral is "bacterial SSU rRNA". It matches the Rfam family "Bacterial small subunit ribosomal RNA", at positions 8 to 518 of the family's 1533-position model. The record is from RNAcentral.